GAGGAAUAUUGGGCAAUGCCCGAAAGGGUGACCCAGCAACGCCGCGUGGAGGAUGAAGGUCGUAAGAUUGUAAACUCCUGUUAGAGGGGAAGAAUAACUAAGUUUGGAGCUUAGUAUGACUGUACCCUCAGAGAAAGCCCCGGCUAACUACGUGCCAGCAGCCGCGGUAAUACGUAGGGGGCAAGCGUAGUCCGGAUUUACUGGGUGUAAAGGGCGCGCAGGCGGGAUAAAAAGUCAGUGGUGAAAUCCUACAGCUUAACUGUAGAACUGCCUUUGAUACUUUUAUUCUUGAGUUCGGGAGAGAGAGACGGAAUUCCAGGUGUAGUGGUGAAAUACGUAGAUAUCAGGAGGAACACCGGUGGCGAAGGCGGCCUUCUGGACGGCUACUGACGCUGAGACGCGAAAGCGUGGGGAGCAAACA
RNAcentral lists this ribosomal RNA (421 nucleotides) under uncultured bacterium. RNAcentral's name for it is "bacterial SSU rRNA". It matches the Rfam family "Bacterial small subunit ribosomal RNA", at positions 356 to 774 of the family's 1533-position model. The record is from RNAcentral.